RNAcentral lists this ribosomal RNA (397 nucleotides) under uncultured bacterium. Its description in RNAcentral is "partial 16S ribosomal RNA". It matches the Rfam family "Bacterial small subunit ribosomal RNA", at positions 360 to 772 of the family's 1533-position model. The record is from RNAcentral.
AAUAUUGCACAAUGGAGGGAACUCUGAUGCAGCGACGCAGCGUGAGUGAAGAAGGUCUUCGGAUCGUAAAACUCUGUCCUUGGUUACGAAAAAAAUGACGGUAGCCAAGCAGGAAGCCCCGGCUAACUACGUGCCAGCAGCCGCGGUAAUACGUAGGGGGCGAGCGUUGUCCGGAUUUACUGGGCGUAAAGGGUGAGUAGGCGGUUAUAUAUGUCAGGUGUAAAAAGCUAUGACUUAACCAUAGUAAGCACUUGAAACUGUAUGACUUGAGUGCAGGAGAGGUAAGCGGAAUUCCUAGUGUAGCGGUGAAAUGCGUAGAUAUUAGGAGGAACACCGGUGGCGAAGGCGGCUUACUGGACUGUAACUGACGCUGAGUCACGAAAGCGUGGGUAGCAAA